RNAcentral lists this transfer RNA (72 nucleotides) under Pangasius djambal. Its description in RNAcentral is "tRNA-Glu". Lineage: Eukaryota; Metazoa; Chordata; Actinopteri; Siluriformes; Pangasiidae. The record is from RNAcentral.
UUCCUGGAGGAAUAGUGGUUAGGCCUCGGCGCUCUCACCACUGUGGCCUGGGUUCGAGUCACGGCCAGGGAA